UAGGAAGUGGUGUAAUGGAAGCACUUGGAGUUUUGAUCUCUAGGAUACGGGUUCGAGUCCCUUCUUUCUAA
Molecule: transfer RNA, 71 nt
Filed under: Silurus asotus (Amur catfish)
Lineage: Eukaryota; Metazoa; Chordata; Actinopteri; Siluriformes; Siluridae
Also listed under: 2 other names
Description: tRNA-Gln
Rfam family: tRNA
About the family: Transfer RNA (tRNA) molecules are approximately 80 nucleotides in length. Their secondary structure includes four short double-helical elements and three loops (D, anti-codon, and T loops). Further hydrogen bonds mediate the characteristic L-shaped molecular structure. tRNAs have two regions of fundamental functional importance: the anti-codon, which is responsible for specific mRNA codon recognition, and the 3' end, to which the tRNAs corresponding amino acid is attached (by aminoacyl-tRNA synthetases). tRNAs cope with the degeneracy of the genetic code in two manners: having more than one tRNA (with a specific anti-codon) for a particular amino acid; and 'wobble' base-pairing, i.e. permitting non-standard base-pairing at the 3rd anti-codon position.
Source: RNAcentral